UGCUGGAGGUAUCAGAAGUGCGAAUGCUGACAUAAGUAACGAUAAAGCGGGUGAAAAGCCCGCUCGCCGGAAGACCAAGGGUUCCUGUCCAACGUUAAUCGGGGCAGGGUGAGUCGACCCCUAAGGCGAGGCCGAAAGGCGUAGUCGAUGGGAAACAGGUUAAUAUUCCUGUACUUGGUGUUACUGCGAAGGGGGGACGGAGAAGGCUAUGUUGGCCGGGCGACGGUUGUCCCGGUUUAAGCGUGUAGGCUGGUUUUCCAGGCAAAUCCGGAAAAUCAAGGCUGAGGCGUGAUGACGAGGCACUACGGUGCUGAAGCAACAAAUGCCCUGCUUCCAGGAAAAGCCUCUAAGCAUCAGGUAACAUCAAAUCGUACCCCAAACCGACACAGGUGGUCAGGUAGAGAAUACCAAGGCGCUUGAGAGAACUCGGGUGAAGGAACUAGGCAAAAUGGUGCCGUAACUUCGGGAGAAGGCACGCUGAUACGUAGGUGAAGUCCCUCGCGGAUGGAGCUGAAAUCAGUCGAAGAUACCAGCUGGCUGCAACUGUUUAUUAAAAACACAGCACUGUGCAAACACGAAAGUGGACGUAUACGGUGUGACGCCUGCCCGGUGCCGGAAGGUUAAUUGAUGGGGUUAGCGGUAACGCGAAGCUCUUGAUCGAAGCCCCGGUAAACGGCGGCCGUAACUAUAACGGUCCUAAGGUAGCGAAAUUCCUUGUCGGGUAAGUUCCGACCUGCACGAAUGGCGUAAUGAUGGCCAGGCUGUCUCCACCCGAGACUCAGUGAAAUUGAACUCGCUGUGAAGAUGCAGUGUACCCGCGGCAAGACGGAAAGACCCCGUGAACCUUUACUAUAGCUUGACACUGAACAUUGAGCCUUGAUGUGUAGGAUAGGUGGGAGGCUUUGAAGUGUGGACGCCAGUCUGCAUGGAGCCGGCCUUGAAAUACCACCCUUUAAUGUUUGAUGUUCUAACGUUGGCCCCUGAUCGGGGUUGCGGACAGUGUCUGGUGGGUAGUUUGACUGGGGCGGUCUCCUCCUAAAGAGUAACGGAGGAGCACGAAGGUUGGCUAAUCCUGGUCGGACAUCAGGAGGUUAGUGCAAUGGCAUAAGCCAGCUUGACUGCGAGCGUGACGGCGCGAGCAGGUGCGAAAGCAGGUCAUAGUGAUCCGGUGGUUCUGAAUGGAAGGGCCAUCGCUCAACGGAUAAAAGGUACUCCGGGGAUAACAGGCUGAUACCGCCCAAGAGUUCAUAUCGACGGCGGUGUUUGGCACCUCGAUGUCGGCUCAUCACAUCCUGGGGCUGAAGUAGGUCCCAAGGGUAUGGCUGUUCGCCAUUUAAAGUGGUACGCGAGCUGGGUUUAGAACGUCGUGAGACAGUUCGGUCCCUAUCUGCCGUGGGCGCUGGAGAACUGAGGGGGGCUGCUCCUAGUACGAGAGGACCGGAGUGGACGCAUCACUGGUGUUCGGGUUGUCAUGCCAAUGGCACUGCCCGGUAGCUAAAUGCGGAAGAGAUAAGUGCUGAAAGCAUCUAAGCACGAAACUUGCCCCGAGAUGAGUUCUCCCUGACUCCUUGAGAGUCCUGAAGGAACGUUGAAGACGACGACGUUGAUAGGCCGGGUGUGUAAGCGCAGCGAUGCGUUGAGCUAACCGGUACUAAUGAACCGUGAGGCUUAACCUUACAACGCCGAAG
RNAcentral lists this ribosomal RNA (1688 nucleotides) under Escherichia coli. Its description in RNAcentral is "bacterial LSU rRNA". It matches the Rfam family "Bacterial large subunit ribosomal RNA", at positions 1271 to 2925 of the family's 2925-position model. The record is from RNAcentral. Lineage: Bacteria; Pseudomonadati; Pseudomonadota; Gammaproteobacteria; Enterobacterales; Enterobacteriaceae.